GCGGGCGGAGAGAGCGGCGCCCCUGCCGCCGUAGCGGCCCCUGGCGGCAGGAGGAGCGACAGCCGCGGGGGCGAGCCGGGGCCAGGGCGGCGGUUUGGGGCAACUCAGGGAGGCCUGGGGCAACUGCAGCUGCCUGAGAGGAGACUGGAGUGAGGCCUUCGACAGCGAGGGUGGCAAUUCCCGAAGAUGAACCCCCUGGUAGCGAUGGAGCAGAGACGAGUGAGCCUGAGAACUGGUUGGUAUUUUCGGCAUCCCCAGAGCCGGUUGGAAUUUCGGCAUCUCCCGUCGCGGGUGAGCCCUGUGCUCUGUUACGGAACUGAAUCCCUGGCUGUGGUUGAGCAGGCGCUGCCAUAGAUCCAGCUCUUGGCGACAGCGACACUUCAAAGCCUCGGCGCUAUUUUCGCCGCGGUGGCUCGGGCUCCGGGCGAGCCGGGCGGUGCCUCCGCCUGUGGUAUCCCGGGAGAGGGCAGCAAGAGCCCGCCGGUGUCGGGUGGAGGUUUUCCGGUGCUGGCAUUGGGCAGCUUCGUGUGAUGGAGGCAAUUCUGGAACUCCUUCCGAAGUGAUGUGUUAGCGCUCGCUCAAGUCUUGCCCCACAACAUCCUUCUUCCAUGACUAAAAGCGGAAACCCACCGGGAGGGGAGCGGAGAAUUCUUUGCUCUGCUUUCCCUGCGGGCAGAGCAGGGCACGUUUGAUACUUCCUACAUUCCUGCAGGAGACAGUGAGAAUCCUUCAUCCUCAUUCUGAGCAGCAUCUCUCAUCGUGCUGAAGCACGGCCAGUAACUUUGGCUGCUCUAGAAUAUCAAGUCUUCGGGGGUGCAAGACAUGAGAUUAACGGUUUAUGUGUUUUCUGACUUCGGAGUCCUUAGAGCACCCUCAGAUAAUUUUUCUCCAAGCUCCUCCCUAAAAUCUAAAAUCUAGCAUGAAAUCAGAAAGGCAGUAAGACCCACAGUUGAUAACUCCGCUGAAUGAAGACCUUGGGUUGUCAAGUUGCACUUUUUGUGCCUUGGUGUCAAUGGCAACCUGGUCUCUUGCAAUUUCACCCCCUUUGAAGCCCCUGCUGCAUCUGCCUUUCAGGUGUCAGCUUCCAGAAUGGUUUUAUGUUCCCAACAUGGCAAUUUAUCCACUGGUCAACUUGGAGCUCUGCUCUGCAGAGCCCACAAAGCUGUCUCUCAUGCUUGUUAUUACUUACAAAAGCCAGUAGUCAUUUGAUGAAGUGAGUCCACUGUCUUUAAUAAUCCCUUUUUGGCUUUUUCCUUCCAACUGAGUAAUACAAAACUUGCUUUGCCUAGGAUAAUCCAUAGGCAUGGAUGUUGGGCAACGAAAAUGCAGAAGGAUGUGAUUGUGUUGGACCAAGAGAAUAAAAGUUUAAAUUCAGUGUUA
Molecule: long non-coding RNA, 1380 nt
Organism: Passer domesticus (house sparrow)
Lineage: Eukaryota; Metazoa; Chordata; Aves; Passeriformes; Passeridae
Exons: 2
Source: RefSeq, a predicted model, not a curated record